Molecule: ribosomal RNA, 479 nt
Filed under: uncultured bacterium
Lineage: Bacteria
Description: partial 16S ribosomal RNA
Rfam family: Bacterial small subunit ribosomal RNA
Source: RNAcentral
AUGAACGCUAGCGGCAGGCCUAACGCCUGCAAGUCGAGGGGGAAGUUACUUUCGGGUGACUGAGACCGGCGUACGGGUGCGUAACGCGUAUACAAUCUGCCUUUCACUGGGGGGUAGCCCGAAGAAAUUUGGAUUAAUACCCCAUAGUAUAUAGGGACGGCAUCGUUUUUAUAUUAAAGCUUAGGUGGUGAAAGAUGAGUAUGCGUUCUAUUAGCUAGUUGGAGAGGUAACGGCUCCCCAAGGCGAUGAUAGAUAGGGGUUCUGAGAGGGAUGUCCCCCACACUGGUACUGAGAUACGGACCAGACUCCUACGGGAGGCAGCAGUGAGGAAUAGUGGACAAUGGUCGGAAGACUGAUCCAGCCAUUCCGCGUGCAGGAUGAAGGUCUUAUGGAUUGUAAACUGCUUUUGUAAGGGAAGAAUAAGGGCUACGCGUAGUUUGAUGACGGUACCUUACGAAUAAGCAUCGGCUAACUCCGUG